GGAAGAAAACUUAAAGCAGGUAAAUAAAAACAUAAGUAUCGCUUAGAAGUUUAGCUUACAGCCUUUUUGCCCCCAAACUAGAAGCUGAUUUUUCUUUAUUUAAAUCCCUCUACUCUGUUUCAGGAGAAUUAACUAGUCUGUUUCAGGAGAAUAUAACUGGCAGAGCAACUGUCUAUGAUAUCCCAAUUCAUUGUGCUUCGAGCACCCUCAGAGAUGAGGUGCCAGUAUAAAUCCGUAAAUUCUUACUCAACAAGAAAUCUGGAAGUUCUGGUUCACUUGGUAAGAUCCCACGUGUCAGGGGCUCCUGGAUGUCUCCAACAGUCUCUUCACUUCCCCAAGGUGGAGAAAUUGCAGAGUCUGGAUCAAGUGGGGAAGUCAGCACUGAUGAAAUCUACAGGUGAAGAAUUAACAUGGCAGGACUGAUUUAUUCCUGGCUCUUCAAUUACAUCAGGCUUCAUUUGAAAAUUCCCUUCUCUGAUAACAUCAACAUCAUCCUUAUGAAGACUCCUGGAACUUGGCGACUUUAUUUAAAACAAAAGCAUAACUGAAAACUUGUUAGAAAUUAAACUGUUGAUCUUCUCUUUUUCAAGUGCAAUUGAUCAAAGGAGCAGAAGAAAACAAGUAACACAUUUUGAAGUUCUAUGACAAAGCUGUCACUAAAGGGAGCUGAAAGCAGUGAGGACACAGACAUUUGCUCUCUGCCACUGUCCCUACAUCCCUCUUCCUGACUGCCUGCAGAGAGAUUUGUUUCUGCAUCCUUCUUGCGAAUCGUAGAAAACAACGGAGAGCUGAUAUAAAACUUGGAUGGAAAAUUCCCUUGGCACUCCUUAGCUGAAGGCAACACUGUUGGUUUUCCUUCAUCUUCCACAGCUGGUAUUUUCUUCUCAACUUGGCGUGGUCCUUGGAACCCCUGGGAGAGAAAUUUUCAAUUAAUCCACAUUUUGUAAUCACAUGAUGAAAACGGGGCACACUUCAUGGACUACAUUCUGAUCAAAUGGCCUGAAAAUAUAUUCUGAACAAAUUCACAGGUGCAUAGAAACAACCUUGAGCCCUUGUGAUUUUUACUCUAGGCAACACCAAUCCUGCUAAACCAAAUUUCCUAAAUGUGGAAAAAACACAGUCUGGAUUACAGGAAAAAAAAAAAAAAAAGAAGGCAGGAAGAAAUGAUGCAUAUAUUUAUAUAUUUACCAUUCAUGAAAAUAUGUUUUCCUUGUGUUUUACACUGCAUGUAAACA
Molecule: non-coding RNA, 1235 nt
Organism: Lonchura striata (white-rumped munia)
Lineage: Eukaryota; Metazoa; Chordata; Aves; Passeriformes; Estrildidae
Source: RefSeq, a predicted model, not a curated record